UUACUCUGGUUUCCCUUCAAAACGAAAAAAUCUUUCGCCUUUUACUAAAGAUUUCCGUGGAGGGGAACACUCAAAUGAGUCUAUAAGAAUUUUUUGACACCCUGCGGCACGCGGGGCU
This is a small nuclear RNA of Cydia splendana, 118 nucleotides long. RefSeq annotates it as U5 spliceosomal RNA. NCBI's taxonomy places the organism in Eukaryota, Metazoa, Arthropoda, Insecta, Lepidoptera, Tortricidae. The record is from RefSeq and is a predicted model, not a curated record. The transcript has a single exon.